UGUCAUCCAACCCUGUAGGUGGCGCUAACGCACAAUCUCUCAUUUGCCAACCGCCAAUUAGAAGAAGAACGAAGAAGAAGAAAUCCGACAGACGUGUUUAUUGCAGCGUUUGAGACUUUUUCUCCUCGCUAACAUGGUUUUGAACUUAAGGCCUGCUAUUGUUUUGUUCCCUGGAUUCUUGCGGACAGAGUGACGUGCAGCAGUUCCGGGUUUAUUGAUCUCUGAGUCUACAUUGGUUCCUCUAAAGACUCAGACGUGUCUUGCAUCGGUAGGUGUGCGUGGAACAAAAGCCCUCUUUGGAACAUGCAACCUCUCAUGAUUUUCGAGGACAAUCUCAACGCAUGGAAAGGCGUAUGCGAGGCAUGUGUGUCAGUAGCACUGGCCUAAAGGUGAACUCCGUCGUACGCCUCGUGCGGAGGGAGAAGAAAAGGGAAAGGAGGUCGAGGAGCGACGGAGAAAAGGCGGGUGGGGCCUGCUGAGUGACUCAAGGCUGCUGAGUGACAAAUCAAACGCCGCUUGACAGAACGCACCCCGGCUCCAAAAUUCACUGGCUCCCUCGACUGCACAGGUGGUCUUUGUCUCUCACACACACACACACACACACACACACACACACACACACACGCACACACACAAACAUGCACACACACUCAUAACGCGGUGCAACCUCAAUGGGUGAUUGCUCUCUGCAUUAAACAGGUUAAUCUCUGCAGGAAAAACAAUACUAUUUGAGUUUGACAAACAUUCCUGAUCACACAUAGAGAAUCAACAUUCAACAGGAAACAGCAACAUCAAAUCACACAGUUGUUUUUGUGUGUGUGUGAUCUAUUAAGAUAUUACAGGUAUAAUCCAGUGCCCCAUAUGUGACCCAGCAGUUGCAACACAACAUGCCAGGAUCUGACCUCAUCCACUCACACACGCACCGUGACACUUGAUUAAUGGGUUGACUGGGGUGAACCUUGUGUUUCGGUCCCAGGUCAGUGUUUUUGUGCCGUUCCUUGAAGGGAGUGGUCAAGUUGUCCCGGUAAAUUGAUGGUGCUUCCAGGAAGGAGGCAGAUAAAAAUAAGUGCUAUGUAGCGAGGCUCGCUGAACCUCUUUAUGCACAGCUUUUUGUGCUCGCUCGCUCUCUCUCUCGCCCGCUGGAACAAAGAGAAACCACUUUGGGUUGUCAGUCAGUUCCAGUUUACCUUGAUAACUUUGGCAUAUUGUCAAACUUUAAUCUAUAAUGGGCGUGUGUGCAAAGCAAAGAAUCCCUAAGAAUGAUCUAUUUGCUCAUUUCUUAGGUCUUGUUUAAAUAAAUGCAUUACAUAAACUCUUUCUGUAUUUGUUUGUAAACAUCAGGAAAGGAUGCGCUGAGCAAAUUUACUCUCAAGUGUGGUCAUGAGGGUGUUGAAGUAACUCAGACUCAAGAUGCCACCUAACAACAAGGGACUUUUUUAUACCUUGUUAUUUAAAGGUUUCACUAAGACUAAAUUUUCCUUUUUUUCCUGUUUCUUUUUUUAUAAACCUUAAGGUUGCUUGCAGAAAAUUAAGAACUAAACCUUUUAAAGUGACUAAAUAUAUUUGUAAAACGAAAGGGGAACCACACGUUUUGACCGACGGUCCAACCACUGGCAGAGCAUCUGCAAAGUCGGACGUGUCCGCGUGUGCGUCCUUUAACUUAUGCAUCUGCACAACAUUGUGUAAAUCAGGAUUCCCACAGAAAUAACCCCCGCGUUCUGCAGCCGCGUGCUGAUGCCAUUUCGGAAAUUUUGUAAAUGUGAAAUGCUCCGUCAUGCUCGGCGUGUUAAACAUCUUAUGAACAGACUUGCAACCUGCCCGCCUGUCUGCUUCCCUGUCUGUACUCCUCCUCGGGAGACGGGGAUUAGAGGCCUUGGAGGACCGACUGUAUGGAUGGUGUAUGAAUAACUUGGAGAGAGGUGACAGACGGGACAGAUCGCGUCUCAUCACCAGUAAAGCCUCGGGGCUCCCAUAGGGGACCAGUGCAUCACACAGAGAGCUACAUAAAGGGCCGCCGCAGACGAAGGCCUGGUCAAGGCCUAAGCUAUAGAAGCCCUGACAUCUGGCUUUCUUCUAUGCUUCACCGCCAACCUGCUACCCCAGUCUGGCAGCUAUAUGCACUUCAUUAUUGUGCCUUAAUGCGCUCUUGAAUCACAGUCAAAAUUUCGUCCUGCUAUGUGUUUUUAUUGCCAGUAGGAAUUCAUGCGAUAUGAAGUAUCUGCCAUAAGAUAUACAGUAAGUUAUGGCGGCGCGUGGAGGACGCGGCAUCUUUAUUAUGCCUCUUUAAGUACAAAAUGUGCAAUGUGUGUUGCGUUUUGGCCAACAAACUGUAAAGAUAAAAUUAUGAUGAAACAAUAAAGGCAGGCUCAAUCAUUUUGAGGGGAAGAUACACAGCAGGUGGUAAGAAAAGCUCUGACAGAACCCCUGAUUUGUGCAGAAUUGUGUUGCUUAAAGGAUAUGGCCACCAGAUGCCCAUUUGGAUGAAAAUCUAGGUUUCAGUCUAAUCUGUCAAUUUCGGAAGCCAAAAACGUGUCAGCUUCGUGAGCAAUGCAAGAAACUUUAAUGGGAACACUGUUCCAAAGCACUUUUUUUACUUUAUUAGACUGCAGAAUUGUCGGCCACGUGUUUACAUUUCUAUGAUUUCAGUUAUCGUUUAUUAAUCGUGCACUCGAAUAUUAAACGCUGCCUGUUUUUUUCCCCCCUUUAAGCGCGGGGCGAGUCGAUUGCCUUUGUGCUGGGUGCACAGGACCUCAGCAGUCCUAGGAUCAUAGCCAUAGAUGGCAGUGUUCUGCCUUAUUUUUGACAGCCCACUCUGCUCCCAGGCUGUGCACAGAGGACAUAACUAUCUGUGUGGGCUGUGGGUUCGGGUUGGGAGGUACAUUUUAAUUUUUGCUUUAGAUAGUUUUGUCAGCUCUGCUCUAAACCAUUUGAAAUCAAAUUUCCGUGAUAGUGGCGUAUGAUAAAUAAUUGUUUUUUGUUAUCUUUUUUUAUGUAUGUUUGUCGUAUGAGUUCCUCUGAGUCACAAUGUGAGACAGAGGAAAUUUAAAUUUUAAAUGCUGCCUAUCACUGUCUGACCUAGUCUGAGACAUUUAUCUGUUGAUUUUAUGUUUGUUUAAUUUGAGGUUUUAUUUGAGGUUCUGCUAUUUGGAGCAUUAUUCAAAAUGGAAAAUUAAGUAAGUAGAUUAAUUAGACAAUUAAGUUGAACUUAAUGUGGAAGGAAGAGUCGCUGAAGCGUUGCCUGUAAAAACAUCCUGAUUUUUGUGCCUUUAUUUGCAGAGCUACACAAAAUGAGUCGACGAGUUCUACUUCAAUAAAUAGUGUUUAAACAACAGUAAAUUUCCUCGGUCUUUUGCUCUGACGGGGGCCAAGGUCGGUUUUAUAUUCGGCUGAAAUCAUAAAAUGACACUUGAGAUAAACAGAAUGUUUACCCUCCCCAUGUGAGCUGAGGCUGAUAUGUAAAUGCAGUCUUAUUCUUUCAUCAAAUUUGCAUUUACCCUCUUAACCAAACACUACAGGGCUCCAAUUCAAACACCGCUAAUGAUGGGUGGCCCUUUAUGACCGAUUGCCGUAUCGGCGAAAAGAGGAAAGAGCAAUUUAGCCUGGAAUGAAAGGAGUAAAGCAUAGUAGCUAUCUGUGAGUGCCUGACAAUAAUUGGAUCAAGUUUGCAGAGAAAUGGAUGUGUUUUGAUGCUCUAGUGGCUGACUGGCAAUCGUCUGGCUUUUCGCCUAUUUAUCAUUCCCCCUUUAUCUGCGACUGCCAGCCCUUUUUUUUUUUUUUUUUUUU
Long non-coding RNA from Betta splendens (Siamese fighting fish), 3783 nucleotides. RefSeq lists it as uncharacterized. NCBI's taxonomy places the organism in Eukaryota, Metazoa, Chordata, Actinopteri, Anabantiformes, Osphronemidae. The record is from RefSeq and is a predicted model, not a curated record. The transcript is spliced from 3 exons.